CACGUGGGUAACCUGCCUGACAGUCUGGGAUAACGCUUGGAAACGAGUGCUAAUACCGGAUAAUCUCUUGGAUCGCAUGAUUCGAGAUUGAAAGAAGCUUUUGCUUCACUGUCAGAUGGACCCGCGGCGCAUUAGCUAGUUGGUGAGGUAACGGCUCACCAAGGCGACGAUGCGUAGCCGACCUGAGAGGGUGACCGGCCACACUGGGACUGAGACACGGCCCAGAUUCCUACGGGAGGCAGCAGUAGGGAAUCUUCCGCAAUGGGCGCAAGCCUGACGGAGCAACGCCGCGUGAGUGAUGACGGCUUUCGGGUUGUAAAACUCUGUCUUCUGUGAAGAACAAGCCUGUGAGUAGAAUGCUCAGGCCUUGACGGUAACAGAGGAGGAAGCCCCGGCUAACUACGUGCCAGCAGCCGCGGUAAUACGUAGGGGGCAAGCGUUGUCCGGAAUCACUGGGCGUAAAGCGCGCGCAGGCGGUCAUCUACGUCUGGGGUGAAAGCCCGGAGCUCAACUCCGGGAUUGCCUUGGAUACGGGAUGACUUGAGGAUCGGAGAGGCAAGGGGAAUUCCACGUGUAGCGGUGAAAUGCGUAGAGAUGUGGAGGAACACCUGUGGC
Molecule: ribosomal RNA, 615 nt
Filed under: uncultured bacterium
Lineage: Bacteria
Description: bacterial SSU rRNA
Rfam family: Bacterial small subunit ribosomal RNA
Source: RNAcentral